Suricata suricatta (meerkat) is the source of this 547-nucleotide long non-coding RNA. RefSeq lists it as uncharacterized. The transcript has 2 exons. Lineage: Eukaryota; Metazoa; Chordata; Mammalia; Carnivora; Herpestidae. The record is from RefSeq and is a predicted model, not a curated record.
AAGGAGGACAUACUGGCCCCGCCUCUCUCUGGCGCUUCUGGAGUUCAGGAGAUGUCAGUUAAAUGAAUGAAAGACCUGCAGAUAUACUCUCUCGGGAAGACAUACUGUCUUGGAAAGAUAUGUUCUCCCAGGAAAAAUACGAAAUCAUCAAUCAAUCAAAGGGAGUGUAGCAGCUGGGGUCAGGAAAGGAAGAUCGGAUCCAAAUGGCAGAGCCAGUGAGGACUCCAAGCACAGCCAGAGGACGGCGCCGCCUCGUCCCCUCUCACUCACGGGCACAAGACGCCCUUCCUCAGGACUGCCCACGCCGUCGGUCCCAACUUUUCGCCCUGCAGACGGCUGCCGACUUCCACUGCACUCCCAUCCGGGCCAGUCAGCGCCACCUACUGGCCAUUCCCCCUCCCAUCUGACCAUUCACGCUGUCGUCAUGUUGGCCCGCUUCUUGGUCACAGUUUACACAGCCAACAAGUUUAGGUAUUCGGUGCCCAAGACGCGCUUUUGCGUGUACCUUUGUUAUUCUGUCUCUUUAAAAUGCCUGUUAAGUCUGUUA